This 252-nucleotide ribosomal RNA is filed under the name uncultured Bacteroidales bacterium. Its description in RNAcentral is "partial 16S ribosomal RNA". It matches the Rfam family "Bacterial small subunit ribosomal RNA", at positions 524 to 776 of the family's 1533-position model. The record is from RNAcentral. Lineage: Bacteria; Pseudomonadati; Bacteroidota; Bacteroidia; Bacteroidales.
UACGGAGGAUGCGAGCGUUAUCCGGCUUUAUUGGGUUUAAAGGGUGCGCAGGCGGCCUGUUAAGUCAGCGGUAAAAGCCCGGGGCUCCACCCCGGCCCGCCGUUGAAACUGGCAGUCUCGAGUUGGAGAGAAGUAUGCGGAAUGCGCGGUGUAGCGGUGAAAUGCAUAGAUAUCGCGCAGAACUCCGAUUGCGAAGGCAGCGUACCGGCGCCAGACUGACGCUGAGGCACGAAAGCGUGGGGAUCGAUCAGG